RNAcentral lists this ribosomal RNA (495 nucleotides) under uncultured bacterium. Its description in RNAcentral is "partial 16S ribosomal RNA". It matches the Rfam family "Bacterial small subunit ribosomal RNA", at positions 28 to 507 of the family's 1533-position model. The record is from RNAcentral.
GACGAACGCUGGCGGCGUGCCUAAUACAUGCAAGUAGAACGCUGAAGGAGGAGCUUGCUUCUCUGGAUGAGUUGCGAACGGGUGAGUAACGCGUAGGUAACCUGCCUGGUAGCGGGGGAUAACUAUUGGAAACGAUAGCUAAUACCGCAUAAUAGUAGAUGUUGAAUGACCUUUGCUUAAAAGGUGCAAUUGCAUCCCUACCAGAUGGACCUGCGCUGUAUUAGCUAGUUGGUGGGGUACCGGCUCACCAAGGCGACGAUACAUAGCCGACCUGAGAGGGUGAUCGGCCACACUGGGACUGAGACACGGCCCAGACUCCUACGGGAGGCAGCAGUAGGGAAUCUUCGGCAAUGGACGGAAGUCUGACCGAGCAACGCCGCGUGAGUGAAGAAGGUUUUCGGAUCGUAAAGCUCUGUUGUAAGAGAAGAACGAGUGUGAGAGUGGAAAGUUCACACUGUGACGGUAUCUUACCAGAAAGGGACGGCUAACUACGUG